Molecule: ribosomal RNA, 277 nt
Filed under: uncultured bacterium
Lineage: Bacteria
Description: partial 16S ribosomal RNA
Rfam family: Bacterial small subunit ribosomal RNA
Source: RNAcentral
AUUGAACGCUGGCGGCAUGCCUAACACAUGCAAGUCGAACGGCAGCACGGUGUGUAGCAAUACACAUGGGUGGCGAGUGGCGGACGGGUGAGUAGAAAGUAGGGAUCUGCCUUGUAGAUUGGGAUAACUUGGGGAAACUCGAGCUAAUACCGGAUAAGCACUAAGGUGGAAAGCAUGGGACCGAAAGGCCAUGCGCUAUAAGAUGAACCUACGUCGGAUUAGUUAGUUGGUUAGGUAAAGGCUGACCAAGACGAAGAUCCGUAGCUGGUCUGAGAGG